Molecule: transfer RNA, 72 nt
Filed under: Camelus bactrianus (Bactrian camel)
Lineage: Eukaryota; Metazoa; Chordata; Mammalia; Artiodactyla; Camelidae
Also listed under: 2 other names
Rfam family: tRNA
About the family: Transfer RNA (tRNA) molecules are approximately 80 nucleotides in length. Their secondary structure includes four short double-helical elements and three loops (D, anti-codon, and T loops). Further hydrogen bonds mediate the characteristic L-shaped molecular structure. tRNAs have two regions of fundamental functional importance: the anti-codon, which is responsible for specific mRNA codon recognition, and the 3' end, to which the tRNAs corresponding amino acid is attached (by aminoacyl-tRNA synthetases). tRNAs cope with the degeneracy of the genetic code in two manners: having more than one tRNA (with a specific anti-codon) for a particular amino acid; and 'wobble' base-pairing, i.e. permitting non-standard base-pairing at the 3rd anti-codon position.
Source: Rfam by way of RNAcentral
GAGAGUAUAGCUCAGUGGUAGAGUGCCUGCCUAGCAUGCACAAGGUCCUGGGUUCAAUCUCCAGUACCUCCA